RNAcentral lists this microRNA precursor (97 nucleotides) under Poecilia formosa (Amazon molly). RNAcentral describes it as "miRNA (ENSPFOG00000021285.1)". The record is from RNAcentral. Lineage: Eukaryota; Metazoa; Chordata; Actinopteri; Cyprinodontiformes; Poeciliidae.
AUAUAUAUGUGUGCGUGUGCAUGUGUGUGUAUGCGUGCUCAUUUUGUACAUACACAUACUGAGAUUUAAAGCAAUGACCAACAAACAGAAAAUGUGA